This is a long non-coding RNA of Suricata suricatta (meerkat), 4268 nucleotides long. RefSeq lists it as uncharacterized. NCBI's taxonomy places the organism in Eukaryota, Metazoa, Chordata, Mammalia, Carnivora, Herpestidae. The transcript is spliced from 8 exons. The record is from RefSeq and is a predicted model, not a curated record.
GGCGAUCCUGCGGGCCGGCGGCGGCGGCGGCGGGGGCAGCCCCACCAGCUCCAGAGUCUGGUCCUGCCGCUGCCGCUUGCAUUUGUAGCGCCGGUUCUGGAACCAGAUCUUGACCUGCGUGGACGUGAGCUUCAGCACGCUGGCCAGCUGGUCGCGCUCGGGCGCCGACAGAUUGUACAAAUGCCUCUGUCAACUCUUACAGGAACUUGGACUUUACUCCAUUUCGAGCAAAAGAACCUUCGCAAUAAAUACUAUCGUCUGCUUCAAAACAUUAGGAACCAGAAGGAAAUGAGAUCUACAUGACUUCUGAGAAGAAACAAGCCAGUCGUAUAAAAAAAUAUACAACAGAGAUCAGUGAAGGGGUUCAAAUGAACAUCAUAAGCAAUUUGAUGCCUGGGGGAGAAAUACUGAGCUAAUAAAUACAAAUGACAAAUAUUUACAAUGGAAGCAACAUGGGACAUCAGUAGGCGAACACGUGACACCUUUACGCUGAGGAAGAUAUAAAGUGAAGCCUUUCACACAUCCAGCCCAGGGGCCCACGAACACACAACUGACCCCACAACGCGGGAGAAUGCCAUUGCUUCAGUCUUUGAGUGACAGCUGAGUCGGUGUGACAGAAGCCACAUGACCCACCACACUGGAGAUAGCGUAUUUACUGUCCGGAGUUUUACAGAAAAAGUUUGCUGACCACUGCUCCAGAAGGAGCUGGCCCAGAACACCCAUCUAUUCUUUGUAAUACUGGCCUUCUAUUUGAGUCCUGGCUGCAAGAAAGGACGAGCUUUAAUGUGAUAACCCAGUGGGGAAGGCCUAUCUAGGGAACAGUUUGAACAAGUCACAAGAACCCCACCGCUGACCCUUUAUGCUCUCCCUCCCUGCCUUGGAUUUUUACUUCUGUCCCUCCUCUGUCUUUUGUCCACUUUGGCUCCUUUCUUCGUUGCUAAAUUUCCAAUCUGGAUCUGGAGAAUCCUGUCCCUCACCUCCAUUUAUGUAAAAGGUCAGCAUUCCCCGCUGGGAAUCAUGGUCCUCCUCGUUCUUUUCUCCCCCUCUCCAUCCUGUAAACCCAGAAGCCACGUUUCCAACUUGGCCUCCCAGCUUCAGGUAUGGGGCUUUAUCGAUCUUGGCUGAGGGUCAAGGUGAGGUAACAGAAUGCUAAAGAAAAUCUGUCAAACGUACUCCUCGUGGGUGCAUUUUCCUCCAGGUGUGUGCUUUGUCCUGAGCGGCUAGAAGCCCACACCAGGCACUUAGAUGUACGGGUAUGUCCUUCUUUGAUUCCUUUUAAAAUAGCACUCAAAAGAAAAAUAAAAAACAGCCCCAAACGAUGGGCUAUAUUCCUUUUUUCCUUUGAGCUGGUUUUAACGACCCACUUGCUUUGUUUGAAAGCCAUUUAUUUAGACGACAGGUAUGUAGAUGUAACUGGAUAAAUAAAAAAGUGAAACCGAGAUUUGAAGCAGUGGUUAAUAUACAAACCACGGGGGCCAUUCCCUGGGACAUAGGCCCCCAACAGCACAAUGGCUCAGAAAUUACACACAGACCCCCCUUGCCCUCCCGGUCCCAAGCAGCUCCAAACCUCAAGGUCCCAUGCAAGAAACUGAAUUUCCGUUUGGCACCAGGCGCCCACAUGGCUGUCUCCUCUCCACCCUUCUGACUCCCCCGCUCGCUCGAUGUUCACAUUCACCCCUGCAUCGGAAUCCAUCCACCCCCUGCCAAGACAGCACCGGAAGCUGCGGGGCCGGGGGCCCAGCACCAAGUGCGAGGUCCAGCAGGCAGGCCUGCCGACCCCUGCCCUUCCCCGGCCCACCUCCCCCACAGCAGAGCAAACCGCAGGCCGCCACCCAGUGGCUCCACGGAUGGAAAGAGGACAAAAGUUGCAAGGAGGCCGCGUGGCGCGCUCACUUCAGGAUGUGCACGUGUGGAACCCCCAGGGCGGAGCCGGGACCUCGCUGCCGCCCAGGCCAUCUCCGCCUCACCUGUUCGUUCCGCUAGCACACGCCUUCAUCAAGUCUGCAAUCCCCACCAAAUCCUGCGUGUGACAUCCCCCCUCUUUAAUGGCAAAUGUUCUGGAAUGUCCAUAGAGAAGAAAAUGGACGGCAUGGAGGAAAGAUUUCCCGGCCAAGCCUUUCGCUUCACCUCCGGAUAUCAGAGUACUCAGACUGUUCUUCCUCCCACUCGCUGCUUCCAGAAGUUCCGGGGCCCCCAUGGCCGGCUGCUCUGCCCCGGGCAUGGGCGUUUGGGUGGCUUUUGCUACCUUUCUCGCCCUUGGCACCUCGGCCUGUCUCCCGACUACUGGGUUCUGAGAGGUGGUGACCUAUGUCUCCGUGGUGGGCCCUGGAGAGCUUGGCUCUGUCGGCCUGGAGCUGGUGCUCAGGGGGCGCUGUGGGGGGCCUCUGGAUGGCUGAGGUGCAGAAACUCAAGAUGGAGCACAGGCUUCCCCAGUUCUGCUCACACUGAGCCUGAACGCUGUGGGUGACGGCCUCCUUCACCUCCUCCCCACAGGUCAGCAGUAGAUUCACCAGGUCCAGGGGAGGAGAAGCCAUCAAAAUUGGGGCUGGGGAACUCCCCAUCACCCUCUUGCAACGUGGCGUCAGGUGGGGCCUGCUGGCUUUGCGCUUGGUGCCUUUCUCCCAGGAAUGUAUUCCUGAUGUAUAAACUGGUGGCCACGAUCCAUCCCGGAGGCCAGCAAACUAUCUAUAGUGGAUGACAGAGGACUGAGGACAAAGGAGCUUCAGGAGCCUCUCAGCCACGGGGCAUUUGCCUCUUCCAGAGACAACUUGGAGGAAGAGGACUUCACAGUGCUCUUCGUGUAAUGGAAUACUCAGAAGAUUGUUCAACUUGCUCAACUUGCUCUCCAUCCUACUCUACCUGUGUAGACACAGCUUAAGAGUGGAGAAGGAUUUCACCUCCCUGACAGCUCAGGAGAGAAGGACCCCAUGAGUGGAGUGGGGAGAGCCUGGCAUCCUACUGUACCCCAAGAAUGUCUCUUGCAAAUGCUAAAACACACCACGAAGGUCAGCUAAGGAAAUCUGUUCACGAGUCCUCACCGUGAGCAUUUCGAUCACGCCACGCCAACCUAAAACAUCUGCUCUAUGUGGUUUUUACCUGGGCAUCGAAUUUUCCAGCGUUGUGCAGAAAAGUCAUGCAGAUCCCAUGCUGGGAAAAGGGCCAGCCCCGUGCCCUGCACGCCGGGCUCUGCUCGGCAGCACGCCGGUGAGCCAAGAGCCGGUGGAGCAGUGGCGGCGCACAGUUCGGGCUGUGUCACCAUUUCGUCGCCUGCUGACCUGCCCUGGAGCGGGAGAAGCCGGCAGCACCUCAGAGAGUGUUGCAUCAUCUUUCAAGAAGAUAUAGAAGAAGAUGGAGGCCAGCAUCUUUGUUCCUUUCAUUGCAUCCAGUUGAGAAUUCAGAAUUUUUCAUUUCCUGAACAAAAUGGUAAAGAGGAGAAAACGGACAAAGGAAAAUGCUUCAUUGUAGCCGGACACAGCAGAAGAGACAGCAGUGCCACGGAUUCUAACGAUAAUAGUAAAAUUGCUGUAUAAGCAGCAUCCCAGACUCUGAGUCUUCCAAGAUAAGAAUCUGGGUGAAUUUUUGUCAGACUUCUGAAUCAAUGAAUAAACAAUAUCUUUCUGAGGACAAAGAGGAACUAUGAUAGUCUCCAGUUAGUCAUUCAUCAGGAAUGAUUUCAUCACCUGAUAUUUUGCCACAAGAACCUGGACCAUCCUGUUUUGCUGAAAGAACGGGGGCCAAUAUUCUCCUACCUCUUGUGGUGUUUGGUUACCAGAAUGUCCCUGAUACAGUUUGCAGGGGACAAACGAUGAAGUCAGAUGUGUUUACAGAGGCAAUCAAAAGGAAAUGGAUGAUACAGAAAUGGGGGGAAAAAGUUAUUGGUGUAGUUCUUGCUGCUGUUUAUACAUUUAAAAAUAAAAAUGUUUUGCAAAUGUGGAGAAAAGAAGAUGCACAUCUUCUCUUUAAGAAGCCAGUGAGCCAUCAGUGGUUUGCAAAGUAACUGAUUUUAUCAAGGGCCAGUGCAGGAAGGACCAGAAAAAACGAUAAGCUGAAACUUAUUGGAGAUGCACUGGAAAUCAGUAUUGAUAUGGUGGAUCUGUGCCCGGUGUGCAUGGCAGCUGCGCAUUUUGGGUUUAUAUACCUUCAAAGUCAGGAAGCAGAGAAUGGAAAUAUGUUGUAUUUAAACGGUUACAUUUUGAACAAAGUUUUAAACACAAUUCCUCUGUUAUUCUAAAAAUCACUCAUAAAAAUAAAAAGGCCCCAUUGGACUC